Molecule: ribosomal RNA, 1384 nt
Filed under: uncultured bacterium
Lineage: Bacteria
Description: bacterial SSU rRNA
Rfam family: Bacterial small subunit ribosomal RNA
Source: RNAcentral
CCUGGCUCCGUAUGAGCGCUAGCUACAGGCUUAACACAUGCAAGUCGACGUGCAGCAUUUCAGUUUGCUUGCAAACUGGAGAUGGCGACCGGCGCACGGGUGAGUAACACGUAUCCAACCUGCCGAUAACUCGGGGAUAGCCUUUCGAAAGAAAGAUUAAUACCCGAUGGCAUAAUUAGACCGCAUGGUCUUAUUAUUAAAGAAUUUCGGUUAUCGAUGGGGAUGCGUUCCAUUAGGCAGUUGGUGAGGUAACGGCUCACCAAACCUUCGAUGGAUAGGGGUUCUGAGAGGAAGGUCCCCCACAUUGGAACUGAGACACGGUCCAAACUCCUACGGGAGGCAGCAGUGAGGAAUAUUGGUCAAUGGGCGCAGGCCUGAACCAGCCAAGUAGCGUGAAGGAUGACUGCCCUAUGGGUUGUAAACUUCUUUUAUAUGGGAAUAAAGUUUUCCACGUGUGGAAUUUUGUAUGUACCAUAUGAAUAAGGAUCGGCUAACUCCGUGCCAGCAGCCGCGGUAAUACGGAGGAUCCGAGCGUUAUCCGGAUUUAUUGGGUUUAAAGGGAGCGUAGGUGGAUAGUUAAGUCAGUUGUGAAAGUUUGCGGCUCAACCGUAAAAUUGCAGUUGAUACUGGCUGUCUUGAGUACAGUAGAGGUGGGCGGAAUUCGUGGUGUAGCGGUGAAAUGCUUAGAUAUCACGAAGAACUCCGAUUGCGAAGGCAGCUCACUGGACUGCAACUGACACUGAUGCUCGAAAGUGUGGGUAUCAAACAGGAUUAGAUACCCUGGUAGUCCACACAGUAAACGAUGAAUACUCGCUGUUUGCGAUAUACAGUAAGCGGCCAAGCGAAAGCAUUAAGUAUUCCACCUGGGGAGUACGCCGGCAACGGUGAAACUCAAAGGAAUUGACGGGGGCCCGCACAAGCGGAGGAACAUGUGGUUUAAUUCGAUGAUACGCGAGGAACCUUACCCGGGCUUAAAUUGCAUUUGAAUAAUCUGGAAACAGGUUAGCCGUAAGGCAAAUGUGAAGGUGCUGCAUGGUUGUCGUCAGCUCGUGCCGUGAGGUGUCGGCUUAAGUGCCAUAACGAGCGCAACCCUUAUCUUUAGUUACUAACAGGUUAUGCUGAGGACUCUAGAGAGACUGCCGUCGUAAGAUGUGAGGAAGGUGGGGAUGACGUCAAAUCAGCACGGCCCUUACGUCCGGGGCUACACACGUGUUACAAUGGGGGGUACAGAAGGCAGCUACCUGGUGACAGGAUGCUAAUCCCAAAAGCCUCUCUCAGUUCGGAUCGAAGUCUGCAACCCGACUUCGUGAAGCUGGAUUCGCUAGUAAUCGCGCAUCAGCCAUGGCGCGGUGAAUACGUUCCCGGGCCUUGUACACACCGCCCG